RNAcentral lists this non-coding RNA (676 nucleotides) under Drosophila persimilis. RNAcentral's name for it is "Eukaryotic large subunit ribosomal RNA". It matches the Rfam family "Eukaryotic large subunit ribosomal RNA", at positions 774 to 1399 of the family's 3401-position model. The record is from Rfam by way of RNAcentral. Lineage: Eukaryota; Metazoa; Arthropoda; Insecta; Diptera; Drosophilidae.
AUAGUAUUUAUGCCUCUAACUGGAACGUACCUUGAGCCUAUAUGCUGUGACCCGAAAGAUGGUGAACUAUACUUGUGCAGGUUGAAGUCAGGGGAAACCCUGAUGGAAGACCGAAACAGUUCUGACGUGCAAAUCGAUUGUCAGAAUUGAGUAUAGGGGCGAAAGACCAAUCGAACCAUCUAGUAGCUGGUUCCUUUCGAAGUUUCCCUCAGGAUAGCUGGUGCAUUUUAAUGUUAUAUAAAAUAAUCUUAUCUGGUAAAGCGAAUGAUUAGAGGCCUUAGGGUCGAAACGAUCUUAACCUAUUCUCAAACUUUAAAUGGGUAAGAACCUUAACUUUCUCGAUAUGAAGUUUAAGGUUAUGAUAUAAUGUGCCCAGUGGGCCACUUUUGGUAAGCAGAACUGGCGCUGUGGGAUGAACCAAACGUAAUGUUACGGUGGCCAAAUUAACAACUCAUGCAGAAACCAUGAAAGGCGUUGGUUGCUUAAAACAGCAGGACGGUGAUCAUGGAAGUCGAAAUCCGCUAAGGAGUGUGUAACAACUCACCUGCCGAAGCAACUAGCCCUUAAAAUGGAUGGCGCUUAAAUUGUAUACCUAUACAUUACCGCUAAAGUAGAUGAUUUAUAUUACUCGUGAUAUAAAUUUUGAAACUUUAGUGAGUAGGAAGGUACAAUGGUA